AGAGUUUGAUCAUGGCUCAGAGUGAACGCUGGCGGCGUGCUUAACACAUGCAAGUCGAACGAGAACGGUCCUUCGGGAUGUCAGCUAAGUGGCGGACGGGUGAGUAAUGUAUAGUUAAUCUGCCCUUUAGAGGGGGAUAACAGUUGGAAACGACUGCUAAUACCUCAUACUCCUUUUAUCUUAAUGGUAAUUGGGAAACGUUUUUUCGCUAAAGGAUGAGACUAUAUGGUAUCAGGUAGUUGGUGGGGUAAGAGCCUACCAAGCCAAUGACGCCUAGCUGGUCUGAGAGGAUGAUCAGCCACACUGGGAACUGAGACACGGUCCAGACUCCUACGGGGAGGCAGCAGUGGGGAAUAUUGCACAAUGGAGGAAACUCUGAUGCAGCAACGCCGCGUGGAGGAUGACGCAUUUCGGUGUGUAAACUCCUUUUAUAUGGGAAGAUAAUGACGGUACCAUAUGAAUAAGCACCGGCUAACUCCGUGCCAGCAGCCGCGGUAAUACGGAGGGUGCAAGCGUUACUCGGAAUCACUGGGCGUAAAGCGCGCGCAGGCGGCCUUUUAAGUUGGAUGUGAAAGCCUAUGGCUCAACCAUAGAACUGCAUCCAAAACUAUCAGGCUAGAGUGUGGGAGAGGAAGAUGGAAUUAGUUGUGUAGGGGUAAAAUCCGUAGAGAUAACUAGGAAUACCAAAAGCGAAGGCAAUCUUCUGGAACAUUACUGACGCUGAGGCGCGAAAGCGUGGGGAGCAAACAGGAUUAGAUACCCUGGGUAGUCCACGCCCUAAACGAUGAAUGUUAGUCGUCGGGUAGUUAGUCUAUUCGGUGAUGCAGCUAACGCAUUAAACAUUCCGCCUGGGGAGUACGGUCGCAAGAUUAAAACUCAAAGGAAUAGACGGGGGACCC
RNAcentral lists this ribosomal RNA (899 nucleotides) under uncultured Campylobacterota bacterium. RNAcentral describes it as "bacterial SSU rRNA". It matches the Rfam family "Bacterial small subunit ribosomal RNA", at positions 8 to 923 of the family's 1533-position model. The record is from RNAcentral. Lineage: Bacteria; Pseudomonadati; Campylobacterota.